UACGUAGGGGGGCAAGCGUUGUCCGGAAUCAUUGGGCGUAAAGAGCGUGUAGGCGGCCAGAAAAGUCCGCUGUGAAAGUCAAAGGCUCAACCUUUGAAUGUCAGUGGAUACUGCCGGGCUAGAGUCCGGAAGAGGCGAGUGGAACUCCUGGUGUAGCGGUGAAAUGCGCAGAUAUCAGGAGGAACACCGAUGGCGAAGGCAGCUCGCUGGGACGGUACUGACGCUGAGGCGCGAAAGCGUGGGGAGCAAACAGG
Molecule: ribosomal RNA, 254 nt
Filed under: uncultured bacterium
Lineage: Bacteria
Description: partial 16S ribosomal RNA
Rfam family: Bacterial small subunit ribosomal RNA
Source: RNAcentral